UAAUAAUGUCAUUACAACAUUAUCGGGGUGAACCUUGUCAGGCCAGAGAUGGAGCAGCAACAAUUCUGUUUUGUGUGUAGUGACUCUUUUUAUUGU
This 96-nucleotide signal recognition particle RNA is filed under the name Ureaplasma sp. Its description in RNAcentral is "signal recognition particle sRNA small type". It matches the Rfam family "Bacterial small signal recognition particle RNA". Rfam says of the family: The signal recognition particle (SRP) is a universally conserved ribonucleoprotein involved in the co-translational targeting of proteins to membranes. Archaeal SRP consists of a 7S RNA and homologues of the eukaryotic SRP19 and SRP54 proteins. Lineage: Bacteria; Bacillati; Mycoplasmatota; Mycoplasmoidales; Mycoplasmoidaceae. The record is from RNAcentral.